Molecule: transfer-messenger RNA, 217 nt
Filed under: Synechococcus sp. SB0662_bin_45
Lineage: Bacteria; Bacillati; Cyanobacteriota; Cyanophyceae; Synechococcales; Synechococcaceae
Rfam family: Cyanobacteria transfer-messenger RNA
About the family: Bacterial tmRNA, also known as 10Sa RNA or SsrA, is named for its dual tRNA and mRNA-like properties. Its role is to liberate the mRNA from a stalled ribosome.
Source: RNAcentral
GUGCUAGUGUGAAGGGGUUCACAUGCUGUGAACUAGGUGGCUCACACCAGUGUUUCGGACAGCGGUUCGAUUCCGCUCAGCNNNNNNNNNNCUUCGUAACAGCGAACAACAUCGUUCGUUUCUCCCGCCAGGCCGCCCCUGUUGCUGCCUGAGCCCAAGGGAGAUGGGGCGAGGUCAGCCUUAUCAACAAAAUGACCCAUGGGGGCUGAGAGGCCCC